RNAcentral lists this ribosomal RNA (251 nucleotides) under uncultured prokaryote. RNAcentral's name for it is "partial 16S rRNA". It matches the Rfam family "Bacterial small subunit ribosomal RNA", at positions 525 to 775 of the family's 1533-position model. The record is from RNAcentral.
ACGUAGGUGGCGAGCGUUGUUCGGAUUUAUUGGGCGUAAAGGGUCUGUAGGGGGUUGAUUAAGUCUGAUGUGAAAUCCCGUGGCUCAACCAUGGAACUGCAUUGGAGACUGAUUGACUAGAGUUCUGGAGAGGUAAGCGGAAUUCCAGGUGUAGCGGUGGAAUGCGUAGAUAUCUGGAAGAACACCGAUAGCGAAGGCAGCUUACUGGACAGUGACUGACCCUGAAAGACGAAAGCGUGGGGAGCAAACAG